Molecule: ribosomal RNA, 336 nt
Filed under: uncultured bacterium
Lineage: Bacteria
Description: partial 16S ribosomal RNA
Rfam family: Bacterial small subunit ribosomal RNA
Source: RNAcentral
CCUACGGGUGGCAGCAGUAGGGAAUAUUGCUCAAUGGGGGAAACCCUGAAGCAGCAACGCCGCGUGGAGGAUGAAGGUUUUCGGAUUGUAAACUCCUUUUGUUAGAGAAGAGAAUGACGGUAUCUAAAGAAUAAGCAACGGCUAACGCCGUGCAAGCAGCCGCGGUAAUACGGAGGGGGCAAGCGUUACUCGGAAUCACUGGGCGUAAAGAGCGGGUAGGCGGGAGAGCAAGUCAGAUGUGAUAUCCUAUGGCUUAACCCUAGAACUGCAUUUUAAACUGUUAUUCUAGAGUAUGGGAGCGUUAGUUGGAAUUCUUGGUGUCGUGGUCAACUCCGU